Carassius gibelio (silver crucian carp) is the source of this 400-nucleotide long non-coding RNA. RefSeq lists it as uncharacterized. NCBI's taxonomy places the organism in Eukaryota, Metazoa, Chordata, Actinopteri, Cypriniformes, Cyprinidae. The record is from RefSeq and is a predicted model, not a curated record. The transcript has 3 exons.
GCAUAGGCACGUGCGUAAAUCCGGCCCUGGGCCCACCCAUAUAGUUCCUGCCUAGUAUAACCUGUUAUUCGUGGAAUUUUAAUCCCGAAUUUUAUAGUCCAUUUUUGUUGAUUCAUCGUACUUCGGCUUGACAGGUUGUGACAGAAGACCUGAGAGAGCUUCCUUGACAUAGAACCUUCAUCCCAACCAAGAAUUCCACCAUUAGAAGUAUGAAACAGAACAAGAUGAAGUUCACUCUGUUUACUGCUAUUCUUUUCUCUAUGGAGUGGAUGAGUAUUGAAGGAUCAGUAGAUUAUGGUCCAUCAUGCUGCCUUAUAGUGUCAAACACCAGAAUACCAGUUGGACACAUUUUGAGUUAUAGAAUACAAGAUUUGGUUCCAUGUCCUGUUAGGGCUGUAAG